UACAGAGGUCUCAAGCGUUGUUCGGAUUCAUUGGGCGUAAAGGGUGUGUAGGUGGCGCCGUAAGUCGGGUGUGAAAUUUCGGAGCUUAACUCCGAAACUGCAUUCGAUACUGCCGUGCUUGAGGACUGGGGAGGAGACUGGAAUUUACGGUGUAGCGGUGAAAUGCGUAGAUAUCGUAAGGAAGACCAGUGGCGAAGGCGGGUCUCUGGACAGUUCCUGACGCUGAGGCACGAAGGCCAGGGGAGCAAACGGG
RNAcentral lists this ribosomal RNA (253 nucleotides) under uncultured bacterium. Its description in RNAcentral is "partial 16S ribosomal RNA". It matches the Rfam family "Bacterial small subunit ribosomal RNA", at positions 524 to 776 of the family's 1533-position model. The record is from RNAcentral.